UUGAACGCUGGCGGCAGGCCUAACACGUGCAAGUCGAGCGGAUGAAGGGAGCUUGCUCCUGGAUUCAGCGGCGGACGGGUGAGUAAUGCCUAGGAAUCUGCCUGGUAGUGGGGGAUAACGUCCGGAAACGGGCGCUAAUACCGCAUACGUCCUGAGGGAGAAAGUGGGGGAUCUUCGGACCUCACGCUAUCAGAUGAGCCUAGGUCGGAUUAGCUAGUUGGUGGGGUAAAGGCCUACCAAGGCGACGAUCCGUAACUGGUCUGAGAGGAUGAUCAGUCACACUGGAACUGAGACACGGUCCAGACUCCUACGGGAGGCAGCAGUGGGGAUUAUUGGACAAUGGGCGAAAGCCUGAUCCAGCCAUGCCGCGUGUGUGAAGAAGGUCUUCGGAUUGUAAAGCACUUUAAGUUGGGAGGAAGGGCAGUAAGUUAAUACCUUGCUGUUUUGACGUUACCAACAGAAUAAGCACCGGCUAACUUCGUG
RNAcentral lists this ribosomal RNA (483 nucleotides) under uncultured bacterium. RNAcentral's name for it is "partial 16S ribosomal RNA". It matches the Rfam family "Bacterial small subunit ribosomal RNA", at positions 30 to 507 of the family's 1533-position model. The record is from RNAcentral.